UGGGGUCAUUAACAGUGGGGGAGCUCUUGUUCGUGAUCUGUCAACUCAAAUAUGGAUCACCAGACAAAGGAACUUAGCGAGGAGUAAUCUGUGUGUGUGAUACUUACAUGAGAGUAAACGAGAAUGUGAGACAAGUGCGGCAACAAUGGGAGCUCCGCGUGUUUUCCUCUCUUUUCGCUCCCUUUAAAUUGUUUUGCGUUUGUGUGAGCUGGUGCAUCUGUCAAACGAGAUUUGCACUGACAUCCAGCUGAACGUCAACAACAUAAAGACAAUUAGAUUUUCACAUAUGGCGUCCGUGUUUGAAGUCAGAGUGGUUUGAGCACAGGGGGGUAUUACUCUGCUGUAAAAGGUGACUAAUCCUUGAGUGUUUUUCACGCGUUAAAAGGCCAUAGUUUACCCUGCUUUAAAAUCACAGCUAACACAUGUUGUACACCGAAGUUAAAGCUGACAGUCAGUCCAGCUAUAAGGAACAAGAGGAAGGGGAGGAGGAGGAGGAGAAGGGGGGCUAUUAAGCCGGAGUCUGGCGGUGAGAAAUACUUGCCCUGCCCUGUUUUUUCUCGGAUUUCACCGGUUAACUGAACACAACUUUACUAUUGGUGUGUAUUCAUGCAGCAGCCAAAGAGCACCAGUUUCCCUGUAGCCUCUGCAGCGCGGCUGUCAGUGCAGGAAUGAGCGGGGCCCUGUGGACUUAACUUUCUGCUCUCUCACUCUCCACUGUCUGCAUUAGGUAAGACGCAGGGCUGCAGUACUGGCUGAAGUUUAUACUGAGUUAAAUGCACGUGACUUCACAAUCGGAGGGCUCUUCUUUUGGGCUAUUAAUGGCAAUAAAACCACCUUUAUAUAAAGUCAAGUCUACAAUAUCACCUUAUAACAUUCCCUAACAUUCCCCUUAAAUCACAUUCAUACAAUAACAAACUGUAGUGACGGCCUUUCACGCAAAUGUUGUUUAUAAGAGUGGUUAUGAUAGGAAAGAUGAAAUUAAAAUCAAUAAAUUGUAAAGAAAUUAAUCAACUAUGUCAUCAUGGGUGUUUAUGACGACUUUUGGCGUGGUUUGAAGCAGGUCGACGUCAUGAUUUGUGCGUAAAUUCGACGUUUUUUUGUAUAAUUUUGAUUAUGUGUCUCCAUGCCCAUCGUGCGUAAAAUGUGCGCCUUUUCUCUCCACCGAUGCCAGCCGCCAUACACCUGCUGCUUGUUGUCCAGCCCCACACACAACCUCACCACAGCCACAGUCACUCCUAACACGUAUCACACUCCUCCUCUGUAAGUCAAGGCCAGUGUUUGAAAGUGUCCAUCUAUUAAAUAGUAAUUUGGAGGUCAUACAAGGCAAGAGGCAGUAAUGCUGCACCAGUGUGUGAGCUUUCAUUAUAUGUAGGCUACCGUGUAAACACAGAUGGGAUCAUUGUCUCUCUUUGUCAUAGGUAGGUUGGGUAAGAGGUGUGUGUAUGCAUGUGUAUGUGUAUGUGUGUGUGUGUGUGUGUGUGUAGUGGUGGGGGCCUGAAGAAAUGCUUCAGUGUAAUGCUGAUUAGUGUGGACUGCCAUUGCACAAGCCUCAUCUUUUUAAAACAAGCAUAACAUGAAAGCAAACCCAACUCUGGCUUACUCAAGCGAACAUGACCCCCCCAACACACACACACACACACACACACACACACAUACACACACACACACACCCCUACACCUACACACACAUACAUCACUGUCACGAGCAAAUGUGCACGCCUUACACUAACAGCACACAUGGAGGUUGUGUGCGUGUGUGUGUGUUGGGGUGGGGGCUCUGGCUGGGUGCAGGCUGUGAUCUCUCGCCUUGUGCACACCGAGUGGACAGAGGGCUGAGCAGCUUAAAUAGAGCCCCAGCACCUGUGUUUUCUGCCGCCGUUCUCAGGCCUUCUUCUUGGCGUGGCACCGCUCGGCACAGCUCGAAUGUCAGCACUGAGAGUAGAACAUCAUGAUAGGAUAAACACCGUGCGCCUCCUAUAACAGAGAAGGACAACAUUUUUUCCAAUGAUGUUUUUUUGAUGAAGGAAUAUCAUUAAAAAAAUCAAAAUUAGUCAACUUUAGCAAAAUGUGUAAAAAUUAAAGUUAAACUAUGUUGACCACAAUUACAGUCAGAGAUUGAGAGUGAAUAUUUCAAUUCAAGGUUCAUACUAAAUUGAAAUAGUCUAUUUAUGUUGAUGUGAUCGACACUUCCUGCUUCUUCUACACUUGUAAAGAAAACUACUAAAACAGACUCUGUCCUCCUCUCUAACUUGGUGCGUUAUGGUGACUCGUCCCCCUCUGCUCCCCCCUUUUUUCCUUCCAUGAAUUGGUAAUUGUUUGUUUCCUGGUCUGAUACUGAAUGCUUUUGUCCGUCAGCUGGAGCUCCUGCCUGCCCUGGUUCUGAAAGCACCGGAUGAACCUGGACAUGGACACCCGGUCCCGCUGUGCCCACGGACAACACACACAUUUUAGUCUUUAUUUUUUUCCCUCUUUCUCAGGGCAUUAAGGUCUGGACCAUAAUACAAGGAACUCAUGGCAUUUAUGGACGGAAAUGAGGCUCUGGGUCAACAGUAAAUUGGCAAAAUGACAGACGUUAUGCCAGAAAGGCUCUACAUUUUUACAGCGUUAUUUAUUGACUGUGGGUUGACUGUAUAUUCCUCCAAAUCAAGAAUAAAUUUGAAAUUUAUUUUUUGUUUCCAAAACAAUGUGGAAAAGGCCUGAAAUUGAUUGAUUUUUUUUAAGUCACAGAUUUUAAAUUCAAAUUAAACACCUGAUACUGUUCAGGUCAUGGAAGUACGUAUAAUUCAAAUAAAGGAAAAUAUAAAAUUGACAUUAAAAAGAAAAAAAAAGGCCUACACUUCAAUCCGUGAAAGUGAAAAUAAACAGGAUUGAGAUUUUACGCAAAUAGGCCUCUUCGUUUUUAUGGAUAAACUAAGCUUAAUGCUGUGUAGCCAUACAUAUGUUUUCCUGAUGUGUUUGUCUAAAUAUGUUUUAAGCUCUUGUUUUAGCAAAGCACGCCUAUGACACGCCUCCUUUCUGUGCGCGUGCACUUCACAGAGGUCACGGAUUGACUGAGGCCUGAGUGUCCGUGUCAAUUAAACCUCCAUUUACAAAGCUAUGGCAUGGAUUACCCAGGAUGCUCCACAAACAGUGGGAGGAAAAGAGUGAGGGGGACAGUGGAGGUACAGGCAGGUGCGGAUCCGGAUAGCGGGGCAGACUGAGCGGGGCAGACACAAACGUGGGCCUUCACUGCCAUCUAGUGGGCGUUUGAGGAAGAAGCAUGACUCUGCGGACUGUGUUUCCCUGAAAACUGCUUCUCUUAUAUCAGGGUGUUUGAGGGACAAAACUUGAGGUGUUUAACUCUGUCUGAUUAAAGUUUAUUUAUCUAGGCUAUCUUUAUUUAAUAUUCACACAGUUUUCUUUUGGCCUCACAUAUUUGCUGUUUUCUCAAAAUGUUGAGGACGAUAAAGUCACCAAAUAAGAAUCAGAAUAUUUGAUCCUAUAGGGGGGAAAUAUUGUAGUGCAAUGUAAAUUUUCAUGUCCCGCAAGUGUCAUCACUGCAUACAAUAAAUCCAGCGUUUAAGAUGGAAAUACUUUUUUCUCUUUUGAAGUUAACAUGUACUCUAGUUAAUGUCAGUGCAAGCAUGAACAUACAUACACAGGCUUGCACUACAGGGACAAGAGCAAGCCAGUGAGUUCAUACCUCCCACACAGACACAUAUAUACACACACCGUACAGGGGUGCAGUCAUUAAAGUUUCAUUGCAUGAAAGUCAAAUGAUGUUGGAACACCGAAGCAGUGUCUCCAUUUAGAGCUAGAUGAAGGAUUCAGACGCCAGAGAGUGAAAUGAAACCCUUGAUCCCUGGUUAAUUUUUAAAAACUGAUACCCAGAGUUUUACUGAGGCCGCAAAGGAGACAAGUGACUGACUGCUGUGUGUGUGAGAGUGAGGAAGAUGGUGGUGAGGGAGGGAGGAAGCAUAAUGGUGUCCGCUGGAGCGCGGCCUUUUAGAGUUUAACUCUCCUAUUAUAGCGAGCGGGGCAGGGGGGAGGAAGAGGACACAGAGAAUGCAACAGAGAAGGUUUCACUGUAAAUGGACAGUAAAACGCUUGCGGCAAUCCACCAUUAAAUCAUUGCAGGAGAAGAGGCCGGCAUGUUACACGCCACGAGCAAUAACUCUUUCAUUUCCUGGCUUCUACCCCCUUCACAUGUCUCAAACAGUUUCAGCCCCAUUUCAGGUUCACAUGAGAGGAUAAGAAACCUUUUUGUGAGAGGUCAUCAGAGUUGAUUUACAGAAUCAGCAGCUCGGUGGAUGGAUGGAAAUGCAUCUUAUGUCCAUUGACAUGUUAGCUGAUUUACCCUGGAGGUAAAACGUGCAUUUUAGGAUAAAUUAACUAAUUCUUUGGCUUUGAGCUCAUUUAAAAACCUGUACAGGAUGACGGCAAACUAACACCCCGCAGUCUCUGUUAGCAUUUAAAGGACGUACCUGCAUACUGUAUGUGAAACCAAAUUUCAGUCUCCUUCAUUGUCCACAUCCCUCCUCACAUAUUCAUCUCCCUGAAUCCAUCUGAAAGGUUUUGCUUGUCCCAACUGCUUGGAUGAAAAUUAACCAUCUGGAAAAAAAAAGGGAGAGAAAGUUUAAUGAAACUCAUGUUUCAAACUCACCCUUCAUUGUCUAUGAGAGCCUCUACUUAAGAGGUGCAUGUCAAAUGUACCUUACUGGUUAAUAACUGGCUUAGGGCUCCAGAGACCCUCAGCUGAAGCGUGCUGUUUUGUCCGACCACUUUUUCUAUUUUUAAUAAGUUCCUGAACAUGAGUUGGUUCGGGGAGGAUCUUUAAAAACGGCCUCCGUCCCGAGGUGGCCUCCAAAACACAUGCAUUAUUGAAGCAUGCACCGGCCCUGUCCUCCGCUCUGCCUUCACUCAGUCCAGUUCAGCAAACAGCAGCAGCAGCAGCAGCAGCAGCAGGAACAGCUGCAGAGCUCCCAGAAGAGCCAGGCGAGGAGGAGGAGGAGGAGGAGGAACACACAGGAGGUGUGUUCAGAGCUCAGAGACCUCAUGUAGGACUGUGGAAGAGAGAGGCAGAGGAGCAGAUACAGGUUGAAGACUCAAAUAUCCCCAACUAGUUCACAUUUAUUUCAGAUCAAAUGCUUCUUUGUUCAUUCAGGAGGGGAAACAUUGUGCAAGGGAAAAUCUACCUACACAUCGAUGUAAAUAAAAAUGAGAGACUGAACAUCAUUGUGGAGGUUUUUACAUUUUAGAAUAAAUGGAAAAAUAAAUAAAAAAAGAUAAAUAUAGCAUUUCAAUUAUUUGAAGAGCAUCAUGGGCACUGAAUGCUCACUAAAACCAGCUUUAAAAUAUGAAACUGAAAAUCAUAGGUCUAUUUGAAUUUCAUGAAUGCUAAUCACGGUUUGUUAUUGGGUGUAUUCAUUUACAUCAGCAGUAAUUCAAAAACAUUUCCCGUAUUUAAGCUCCUAUGAAGAGUCUAUUUAUUAUUAUAGAGUCUAUUUACAAUCAUUAUAAUGUGGAUGUGUUUCAGCAAAGAUGUUUGAAACAAAAAUAUACACCUUGUUUUAGAGUAAUACUUCAUAAUCUUAUCAUAGAAAAAAAAUGUCAUGAAAACGUCAUUUAUUCAACACCACACAACUUCAACUCUAUGAAUGUUUAUGUGUAUAUCCUUCUCUUCAUGACUUCUUGACACACACAUAUAUCCAUGCACACACACACACACAUGCACACUAUCAAAACCUAAUGUGAUGGCAAAGGGAGCAGUUGAGAUCUGUGUAAAUGGUCAAUUGGCUUAACUCGGUGGUGUCUGUUCCUGGUGUGACCAUGUCAGUAGGCAAUGUGCAAAUGUGUAUUCUUUUGAAGUCCCUGAUGUAAUCCUCUGCAGCACACUGGUCCCUGUAAAGCCCCGGGGAGCAGAGAUGAGUGGGAGCAGAACAGUGUUUGUUCUGGGAUUAAGAUAUCACUUCCUCCACUUUAGUCAUUCAAAUGUCACACGCACGAGUGCAGAGUGCAAACACUGCGUGUGUAAUUCUUGCACAAAUACAGUGUCUUUAGUCUCUGUGUUCCCAAUAACUUUAUGACUGUAUUUCUGCAAAAUGUGGCCGUCUCAUCGUGUUACACUGCCAUCUGGUGAUCUACCGUAUAAUGAAUCAUAUACACCUAAAAAUGACCACGUUGUCAUUUUUAUCUAGAUACAGAUGGUAUGUUACAGUUAACCUAGGGAAGCUUUCAGUGGGAUCUAUCAACAUUUGGAUUUAAAGUGUUGCAGCACUUAGCAGUGAACUCUGGUCAGCUAUACCAACCAAAAAUUACUGGAAAAAGUUAAAACAAAUAUCUUUUUAAAUUUGCAAAGACCUCGGUUGUAAAUAUUUUAGUUGUUUUCUUUUUAUUAAUUGUUGAUCUUCCAUCAAAGUCUGAUUGCCAAAGAAAAUAUCAGCAACUGUUUGUGAUAUUACAUCUUAAACUCAAAGGUUUUGUCAUGAGCAGGUUUUCUGCCAUCACACAUGAAUACAAUAUCAUGCCGUUACACCUUUUCUCACCACUGGAAGGAUUUCAAAUGCACCCGUUUAAGUAGAUUUUGCAACCUCUGACUGUAAACUGUAUUCAUAGUAUCUUGGUUUCCAUGUACAGUAUUAGCUGGCUGCUAAAUGGAGUUCACUUAUUAUUGCCAACCAUGCUUUUCAAACAAGCACAACUAACUACAUGUAAGCCAUGCACUUUCAUCCUUGAACCUCAAUAUUAGCUUGUAAGUGGUCUGAAAACACAAGAAACUGCAGGUAUUUCAAAAGAUGGUAAAAAUUAGGAGAGAAAGUGUAAAUAAAUGUGAGAUACAAUAUGAGCGAAGGCGUCAGAUUACAGAUACAGUAUGAUGGGAGGAAAACUCGUGCAUCAUAAAAUAUGAAAAAUAACUGUCUGCCUGUAUUUUCUGGUUAUUCAAAAGGACUGGAAAUUUGUUAAAACUACCUCUACAUGUCAUACAAUGAAAACAAAAGUUAGGUAUUAAUAAUAAAAAUGCCUUACUUCAGCCACCAGGUGUCAUCAUGAGCUCAAUAUUGGAAAUGUGUCUAUAUCUAUGAAACCAUAAACUGGGAGUGAAUCUAAAGUGAAGGACAAACAUAACAAAAAAGCAUGGUAUCUUGUGCUUCCACCCAUACAUAUAUUACAUGUAAAACUAUUCAUCGUACGGCUUCAUAGAUUCACUCUAAUGCAGCUCUUUCUGGUGUCUGUAAAGGUUAGUAAUGGCAUUCAUGGCUUCCAGAUCCAUUCCAGUAGUUAUAUGUGUAUUUGUCAAGUCAAGUGUACCAUAAAUUAGAAAUGGUGUAUACAGAAGCUUUAAGGUCACUGACACACACACCCCACUGUGUUGUGAAAUUAUACCCGUGGCAUGUUUUCUGCAUUUCUCACUCCAAAAAUCGCUCUGGCUGAAACCCAGCAGCGUUUGAAGAGCAGCGGAGGAGCUAAUGAAGCAGCAAGAGAACGGCAACAAAGCAAAAAAGAGGACUUCAAGCAGCUGCCAUUGCUGAGGGUGAGGAACAAAACACACAACAAGAGGAGUCCACAGCUUGGAAACCAGUCUAGUGUAAGUUAUCAGGAGAGGGGAGAGGGGGGAGACAGAGGGAGGGGGGCAGAAAGAAGAUAGAGAGCGCUGAAGAUAGUUUUUGUUAUUUUCAUGGCCACUUACUUCAAAAAGUAAACAAGGAUAUGGAUUUGGAAGACACUUAGGACGAUAUUGUGAGUGCGUGUGUGUAAUAAUAUUUUUGCAAGCAUGGGACUAUACAGUCCUUUGCACAAACUUGUCUUUUGUACCACAACAUCAUCCAAAUACUAGGAGAAGUAUCAGCAAAUGCAUGAAAAGUGUGAGAGCACGGUGCAGCUACACUUCCAAGCCUGAUUCUAAAGAUGUCAAAGAUGUUAUCAUUACAUUGUUAUUGUAUGAUGACUUUUUUAAUACAUUCUCAAGUCCAGUAGGAGGAAACAUGCACAUACAGUAUGCAGUAUGACUGCAGUAUGGCUGUCAAACCUCACAGAUAAAAACACAGGAUUGGUCCUUCUCUAAAAGAGCACAUAAGAUUUGGCCUGAAAACUUCCCUUUCAUCUCAUGUUGAAGCAGACUUUGGCAAAAUAGGAAUAUUUCUGUAAAAAAAAAAAAAAAAAAAAAAAAAAAUUCUAAUCAAAUAUUAAUUAAUGUGUGUCAUUAUGCAUGAUGACUCUACAGGUUUGUACAGCAGAUAAUGAAGGUGAGGUAGACUUGCUUUUGUUUUAUUAAGCAUAUUGAAUGAUGUUUUGAUGUAUUUUACUCAUUGUGAAAUCUGUCCUCAGAGUGCAGUUGCAACUAUCAGUAUAAAUAUUUAUGUUACAAAAUUUAUGCUAUUUGUUUAUUCCUUUGCAUAUGAUACUGUGCUACGAUAUUAGACCAUAAAAUGUAUGAAAAAGGUUGUAUUAUAAAUUAAAUUAAUUCAUUUUUAUACACUUAUUACCUUGUUCUACUGUUCGGACCCCCCAGAGAAAUGUAGAUUAAGUGUUUUUCCCAAGAUCAGUUAAAUUAUAAAAUUAUAUUAUGUUGUUUUUGUCCAUAUGACUCAUUCUCUUCCAUGUCUUGAUACCAAACUUUUCACUUUUGCUCAUUUUGUUCAUGUGUGUUGUUUCCCACCUUCAGCCCAUUUUACGGAGUGUCAAAAGCCAAGCUGUGCUACAUUUUUGUGUUGUGUUCAUGACUGUGCUCACGCUCUUCUCCCUUCUUUCCCCACAUAGAGUUACACUUUGUGGCCUCUAGGUGGAAGCAGUGUUCAGCUGAAACAUCUGUUUUUGGUAGUUUUGCUCCUACUCUGCUGCUGUUCCCUAAAUUUAAGAGAAAACCAAACGGUUCCCUUUCACCACGUCUGUUCUGAGUUUUUUUGUUUCUCUUUAAACAAAUCUACACAGAACUAAGUGGACUGGAAACAGUGGAACAUUGUACGUCUGUAAAAUGUGGACAUUAAAGAGUGAAGUUUCACGGAACAUAGUGUCUGCCUCAGGUCAUUGUGUGCCAACUGCUGCUAUAGGAUCUAUGGAGUGGGUCGUUUUUAUCACGCAGAUGCCUUUGUGCUUUGUCUUCCUUUUACAGAACGGCUGCUUUAGUUAAGCUCUUCCUUCAAAACAAGAAGUAUGAAUUCACAAACUUACCUGUCUUUGCUCAUUUUCUGUUUUCCCUUAACAAGACUGACUUCUGUGACUGAAAAGGAUGAGAAGAGAUAAUACUUUUAAGAAAUUAUGAUUUUGAUAAGUAACAGUUUACACAAGGACAGAAGGCCACGCUCUUAUUACCCACGUAACUGUUAGGCAGAGUUGAAUGAGAUUCUGCACUUUUUAUCAGCAUAAUACACAACAUAUCUUGUAUCCAAAGUUUGUCUUCAGGAGUUUGAAAAAACAAAAGCCUCUUUUAUUUUUUCUGCAUACUAACACCUGAGUGCAUGCACACGUACUGACACAAACACACACACACAUAAACACGGACACACACACCUACACACUCUUUCUGCUGAGUCAACCGUCUGGCAGGUUGAACCCGUUGGUGUGUUUAGCUGGAAACAGACAAACCGCACACACUCAGACAGGCAGGCAGGCCCCGUGUGCACAAUCACACUGAUACUGAUUGAUCCAAAUUAGAGGGAAGUCCCCUUUUCUUUGUUCCUGAAUGGAAACACAAAGGCGCAGAGGAAGAUGACAGUGAAGCACAACUUUUAACCUCCUAGAGCCACAAAUAGUCGCCUUUACGGUGUACAAGGUUGAGGAUCUGAAACCUAAAAGUGUUGUCAGAAUUGCUCGUGUAUGAGGACAGAAAGCACUCAACAUGAGAAAAUAAUUAAAUUUGGAGUAAACAAAUGAUGAUUUUAAGAAUCCAAAGACAAAAACACAGACUGAGAAGAAGGCUCUGAAGUAAAAGAGAGUAAUGAAUUACUUUGCCUCUAAACAUUUCUCAUAUGAGUCUGUCUUGUCAAAUACAAACACAGUUGAAGAUGUAUUACAGAAACUUCAGAUGAAAUUAACUCCCAAAAGCCUCAAUUAUACCUCCAAAGCACCAACGUGACGAGCCUAGAACCGUCGAAACAGCAUGAGGAACAAUUGACCUCAGACUAUAUUAAGCUACCUGUGCUGAGACCUCUAAGAACUUUAAGCUGCCAUACUUGCGACACACCUGGUCACCUAUUAAGUUUCAGACUACUAAUGUAAAAAUAAAUAAAUAAGAUCAGCUAAUGCUGAACGACGGAGCCUUUUUCAUACUUAUUAGGGAGUAAUCUCUACUGCAGACCUUAACAAGGCAAGAAAUUAGCUGCAGAUUAUCUGCAAAAUCUUGUCCAUUUAGGUCAGCAUCUAUUGUAAUUGUUAUACAAACAAAUAUUUUACUCAUCAAACUUAAAUUAAGUAAAUACUUACAUUUUGAUGAAAAAACAAAUUUCCAAUAGAAUUUGUGGUGGUUUUAUUUUGAAAGUUAUAGACAAAUAAGAGGGAACGAUCACAAUCAAGGAGUGAAAAUGCAAGUGUAUUCUGUAAGGAACAAGUCUGUCUGUCAGUGUUGACAUACAUCUGUAGGUCUAAGGUAUGCAUGUCUCUAAAUUGACAUGAAAUAUGUCUUUCUAGUAACACAGCAGCCCUGUCUUUUCUUUCUCUCAUCUCUAUUUUUCUCUUCUACUUAUUAAAAUUCAUUUCCUUAUUGCCUUUUUUCAAUGAAAUUUCCCCUGUUGCAAAAUUUCCUCUUUACGUGUUACUUCCUCAUUCAUGUAGACAGCAACAUUGCUUUGUCAUUCUGCGUCUUGUCGCAUUGUUGAGAUUCUUUUGUUGACUUGAGUGUCUGUCUACUCUCGAUAAUAAAGAUGUUUAUUAUUAUAAAAUUAUUGCUGUUAUCAUUACAUUGAUAUUGUUAUGAUGACGACUGUUUUAAUACGCUCUCAAGAAAAGAUCAAGAAAUCAGACUAAAAUAACCAACCAAGGAAAAAAGUGUCAGAAAAGUUCAAAAGUAAACUGUUCAAACUUUGAGGUCUUCAUUUCUCCAUGUAGGUGUAAUAUCAGAUGACUGCUGCUGACAAUAAUGAAAAGGGCGACUAAACUGAUGAAUGGACGAGCUUCAGAACUAUUUAUCUUCGUGACACUCGUGCUGCGAGUUGAUAUAACAUCAAGUAAAAGGCUGCACAGGCUGCACAUAAAAUACAGCUCACUAUGAAAAUCUUGUGCAUGAUUUAACCUGCCCUUUGAGUUCAGCGUGAACACCCAGUGAAAGCAUAAAGAAUGGUGUAGUUAAUCUUGACGCUGGACAGAUUUAAUGGAGCGGUGUCAGGUGACAAUAGCUGGAAAAGCCAUCCAAGUGAACCUAAUGCGAUCAGAACAGCCCCUGUCUGUCUCCCAUCCAGGAAUUUACAGUAGGGGGGGAAAGCCCAGGUGAGCUUGACUUAACCCUGAGUGUACACACACACAUAUGCACACACUGGACACACAACCACAAAUACAUAAUACUACCACCUUUUACCGUUUACACAAACAUAGACGUAACUACCUUAAAACUGUCAAAAAAACGUCCAUGUGUUUGCCUAACAUGAUUUUAUGCAAGUUAAUAACCAUUUAUCAGGCAAAAGUCCUUCAUUUACAAACAUGAGCACACUGACAUGGGUUAUUUUAUCCAACACACCACUCAUGCACAUGAAUGCAUUCACUGUUGCACAUUUAAGAGACAUCUACUCUGCUUUGCUGUUGUGCUCUCUGAAAUAUGUGUCUGCAUUUACCUGGGAGACAUAAAACUGUAUGUUCCUUCAUCGAGGAUAAAGUUCAUUUUAUUUCCCCCCCACAUGAUAGGUAACUACAGGACACCUCAAACAGAAGUCAUGCUAUUGUAGGUCUUCAACUUUCUAAGGCUGAGUGUGUGUGCUGACUCUAAAUAAGUUCAAUAUUUUGCUCUAUUUGAACUCUUGAUUUUUUGAUUAGUCUCAGGUCUCAGGAGUCGGUUACAGAGGUGGAAGUCAGGCCUUGGUCGACCAGCUGACCCUCCACUAGAGCGAAAGGUCGCCGCAGUGUGUGUAUGUGUUUGUGAGUGUGUGUGUGUGUUUUGUAACUGUAUGCUUCCAGCACACAGGGAGUGCAUUAAUGCUCGUACUCCCCUGGCCAUCCCUCCCUCUUUUUCUUUUUUGACCGUAACUCUACACCGUGUACCCCCUCAUCCUCUCCUGCCCCCUUCCUCCUCCUCCUCCUCUCUCACUGAACCUCCUGCUGUUUUAUCCUGUUUUAUGGGACACACCUGAUCCACCAAAAAUGCACAAUAGUUAAGAAGGGACUGGGAUCAAAAUGCUCAUCAAUGAUCAAAACACAUUGUUUGGCUGCUAAAUAUGAUAAAAUUUUCACCAAAAAACAAGAAUAACUUAACUCAAAUGCUUUUUGUGUCUGUGAUGCUGAAGUUUUCUGAAAGCAUUGAUGUCUGUAUUUGUUGUUGAUAGCUUUGUUUUAUUUUCAGUAGUGUUAUUUAAACUAAUGUUAAUGGUGAUGUUUAGUUAAAGACCUAAAAAGCGAUCUUAAAAUAAAAUGUGUAAUUAUGGACUGUUGGUAGUUGCUUAUGAUUAUUGUAAAUAUACAGGUCUUCGUUUGCAGAGGUUUCUUACAUAAGCAAAGUAAUAUUAACGGUUUAAAAAUACAUCCAUAUCUUUGAUCAUGCUGAUGUUGUUGCAGACCUGUCGAUCAAUUUUAUACUAAUAAUGUCUCCAGAUGAAAUCUUGAAUUUAAGUGCUCGUAUAACUCCUAUAAGCACUCAGAUUACCUUGAAUGUUUACAUUUGACUCGCAGGGUGACUCAUGCCAAACUUAAACUUCGUAUUGACAUAUUCUGAUGGUAUUUUAUUUCCCAACAAUUUUCAUAUUUGAUUAGGCCAGAAAAAGAAAAAACUAAUGGGACAUAAAACACUGUUAAUCCACUCAGAAUGUGUAUUUUAAUUCCUGCGUCUUUCUGGGUUGACUUCACAGUUCCUUGCCUGAAUAUGUUUGUGAUUUCAUCAGUUCAUCUCUGCCCAAAAACAUUGUCCCAGCGCUGCCAGUCAGCAUAGCUCCAUCAGCCAAGAGCAGAGAGUCUGUGGACCAUCUGAAUCCACGUUAUAUUUAGGAAUGAACCCAAACCUCACUCACCUCAGAGGGCAUUUUCCUCUCACUCUCUAUGUAAGUGCAAAUGUGUGUGUGUGAGCUAUCAUACAGAGACACUAUGUUCUGGUAGUGGGUAAAUUUGUUGUACUUGAAUAUAUUGACCUGUUGUCUGUGCAGAUUCACCCUUUGAU
Non-coding RNA from Xyrichtys novacula (pearly razorfish), 13267 nucleotides. The record is from the annotation of a GenBank genome assembly. Lineage: Eukaryota; Metazoa; Chordata; Actinopteri; Labriformes; Labridae.